UACGUAUGGUGCAAGCGUUGUUCGGAAUCACUGGGCGUAAAGAGCGCGCAGGCGGAUUGUUAAGUCGGACGUGAAAACUAUGGGCUCAACCCAUAGCCCGCAUUCGAUACUGAUGAUCUGGAGUCUCGGAGAGGUAGGCGGAAUUCUCGGUGUAGCGGUGAAAUGCGUAGAUAUCGAGAGGAACACCAAUGGCGAAGGCAGCCUACUGGACGGUGACUGACGCUGAGGCGCGAAAGCGUGGGGAGCAAACAGGAUUAGAAACCCGAGUAGU
This 271-nucleotide ribosomal RNA is filed under the name uncultured bacterium. RNAcentral's name for it is "partial 16S ribosomal RNA". It matches the Rfam family "Bacterial small subunit ribosomal RNA", at positions 524 to 794 of the family's 1533-position model. The record is from RNAcentral.